RNAcentral lists this ribosomal RNA (563 nucleotides) under uncultured bacterium. RNAcentral's name for it is "partial 16S ribosomal RNA". It matches the Rfam family "Bacterial small subunit ribosomal RNA", at positions 355 to 912 of the family's 1533-position model. The record is from RNAcentral.
UGGGGAAUUUUGGACAAUGGGCGAAAGCCUGAUCCAGCAAUGCCGCGUGUGUGAAGAAGGCCUUCGGGUUGUAAAGCACUUUUGUCCGGAAAGAAAUCCUUGGCUCUAAUACAGUCGGGGGAUGACGGUACCGGAAGAAUAAGCACCGGCUAACUACGUGCCAGCAGCCGCGGUAAUACGUAGGGUGCAAGCGUUAAUCGGAAUUACUGGGCGUAAAGCGUGCGCAGGCGGUUUGCUAAGACCGAUGUGAAAUCCCCGGGCUCAACCUGGGAACUGCAUUGGUGACUGGCAGGCUAGAGUAUGGCAGAGGGGGGUAGAAUUCCACGUGUAGCAGUGAAAUGCGUAGAGAUGUGGAGGAAUACCGAUGGCGAAGGCAGCCCCCUGGGCCAAUACUGACGCUCAUGCACGAAAGCGUGGGGAGCAAACAGGAUUAGAUACCCUGGUAGUCCACGCCCUAAACGAUGUCAACUAGUUGUUGGGGAUUCAUUUCCUAGUAACGUAGCUAACGCGUGAAGUUGACCGCCUGGGGAGUACGGUCGCAAGAUUAAAACUCAAAGGAAUUG